Molecule: non-coding RNA, 72 nt
Organism: Pteropus alecto (black flying fox)
Lineage: Eukaryota; Metazoa; Chordata; Mammalia; Chiroptera; Pteropodidae
Source: Rfam
GGUUCCAUAGUAUAGUGGUUAGCACGUUUGCUUUACAUACAGAAGGUCCUGGGUUCACACCCCGUGGAGCCA